RNAcentral lists this ribosomal RNA (270 nucleotides) under uncultured bacterium. RNAcentral's name for it is "partial 16S ribosomal RNA". It matches the Rfam family "Bacterial small subunit ribosomal RNA", at positions 32 to 312 of the family's 1533-position model. The record is from RNAcentral.
AAUCAACGCUGGCGGCGUGCCUAACACAUGCAAGUCGAACGAGAAAGUGGAGCAAUCCAUGAGUAAAGUGGCGACCGGGUGAGUAACACGUGACUAACCUACCUCCGAGUGGGGAAUAACUCCGGGAAACCGGGGCUAAUACCGCAUAACAUCGCAAGAUCAAAGCAGCAAUGCGCUUGGAGAGGGGGUCGCGGCUGAUUAGCUAGUUGGCGGGGUAACGGCCCACCAAGGCGAAGAUCGGUAUCCGGCCUGAGAGGGCGCACGGACACA